UACGGGGGGUGCAAGCGUUGUUCGGAAUUACUGGGCGUAAAGGGCGCGCAGGCGGCUCAUUUUGUCAGGCGUGAAAGCCCCGGGCUUAACCUGGGAACUGCGUUUGAUACGGAUGGGCUAGAGUUCGGGAGAGGAGAGUGGAAUUCCCAGUGUAGAGGUGAAAUUCGUAGAUAUUGGGAAGAACACCGGUGGCGAAGGCGGCUCUCUGGACCGAGACUGACGCUGAGGCGCGAAAGCGUGGGGAGCAAACAGG
RNAcentral lists this ribosomal RNA (253 nucleotides) under uncultured bacterium. RNAcentral describes it as "partial 16S ribosomal RNA". It matches the Rfam family "Bacterial small subunit ribosomal RNA", at positions 524 to 776 of the family's 1533-position model. The record is from RNAcentral.